GAAAUGCGAUAAGUAGUGUGAAUUGCAGAAUUCAGUGAAUCAUCGAAUCUUUGAACGCACAUUGCGCCCCUUGGUAUUCCAUGGGGCAUGCCUGUUCGAGCGUCAUUUGUACCCUCAAGCUCUGCUUGGUGUUGGGUGUUUGUCCCCGUCUCCGCGCGUGGACUCGCCCCAAAGUGAUUGGCAGCCGGCGUACUGGUCCCGGAGCGCAGCACAUGUCGCGCAAACGAGUGCCUUGGUACGGCGGCGUCCAUAAGCCCCUCUCUCACGCUCUUGACCUCGGAUCAGGUAGGGAUACCCGCUGAACUUCAGC
This 310-nucleotide unclassified non-coding RNA is filed under the name plant metagenome. Its description in RNAcentral is "partial contains 5.8S ribosomal RNA, internal transcribed spacer 2, and large subunit ribosomal RNA". The stretch from base 1 to 105 matches the Rfam family "5.8S ribosomal RNA", at positions 50 to 154 of the family's 154-position model. The record is from RNAcentral.